Molecule: long non-coding RNA, 427 nt
Filed under: Macaca mulatta (Rhesus monkey)
Lineage: Eukaryota; Metazoa; Chordata; Mammalia; Primates; Cercopithecidae
Description: lncRNA (ENSMMUG00000064929.1)
Source: RNAcentral
AACGGGACUAUUUUUUCUGUCAUUUACAGUCAAAUGAAAGCCAUUCGCCAAUCUUCCAAUCUAUUGAGAAUACUCUGUCGUGUAAUAUCCAAAUGAAAUGGCAUGGUGAUGCCUGUUUGGAGGUAUGGCUUAAAGUCAUCAGCAUAAACUUUAGAGCCUUUGGAUCUGGGUUCAAAUCACUAUGACCUGGUGAGACUCCUUGUUCAAGGUAAUUUUCUUAGGCAUCAUUUUCCUGUUCUGAAUUAAGAAUAAUCACAAUGUCUUUUUGCUGGAAUGUUGUGAGACUUAAAUAUGACAAUGUACAUGAAAGCAUCGGUUGACUACAAAGCUAAAUGUAAAUAUUAACUGUUAUGCUUUCUGCUGUAUUUUAUAUAAACCCCCAAGGCAGCCAUGAAGCAGAGUGAUAUGAGAGCCAUCUGGAGACUAU